This is a long non-coding RNA of Neltuma alba, 302 nucleotides long. RefSeq lists it as uncharacterized. The transcript is spliced from 3 exons. NCBI's taxonomy places the organism in Eukaryota, Viridiplantae, Streptophyta, Magnoliopsida, Fabales, Fabaceae. The record is from RefSeq and is a predicted model, not a curated record.
GAUUUCCUAUUCUUUCUCUACCAGCUAGAGAUGUUUUGGCUAUCCCAAUUUCCACAGUUGCAUCAGAGUCUACAUUUAGCACUGGAGGACGAGUUCUAGAUUCAUUUAGGAGCUCUUUAACUCCUAAAGCUGUGCAAUCUCUAAUUUGUGCUCAAGACUGGCUUGGACACUCAAUUCAAUAUGUCGUAGAAGAAGGGAAUGAUGAUAUUCAAAAGAUAGAACUUGAUUUGCAAAAAAUUGCAUUGGAGGCAACUGUUGAUAUAUUGUAAAUGCCAGGAAAAAAUACUUAAUUGUUGGUGGCA